Molecule: long non-coding RNA, 225 nt
Organism: Arachis duranensis
Lineage: Eukaryota; Viridiplantae; Streptophyta; Magnoliopsida; Fabales; Fabaceae
Exons: 3
Source: RefSeq, a predicted model, not a curated record
GCCCCAAUGAUAUCUCUUAUGUCUUCUCUGGAUAUGCACCACUUAGCAUUCGUCUGAUCCAGCAUGCCAUUCGAUCUGGAUGGCGUCCUGUUGAAGAAAUUUUGAAGCUGCUACCUGGACCUCACCUGGAAACAAAGAGGGGUGCAUUCUCAAAUAGCCCAUCAUUUGACUCUUUAUCAGGGGUUUCAACCGGCAUAGCCAAGUAUGGGUUUACAUCAAUCUCCA